RNAcentral lists this ribosomal RNA (2917 nucleotides) under Pseudomonas amygdali pv. lachrymans. RNAcentral describes it as "bacterial LSU rRNA". It matches the Rfam family "Bacterial large subunit ribosomal RNA". Lineage: Bacteria; Pseudomonadati; Pseudomonadota; Gammaproteobacteria; Pseudomonadales; Pseudomonadaceae. The record is from RNAcentral. RNAcentral also lists the same sequence under 1 other name.
GUUAUAUGGUCAAGUGAAGAAGCGCAUACGGUGGAUGCCUUGGCAGUCAGAGGCGAUGAAAGACGUGGUAGCCUGCGAAAAGCUUCGGGGAGUCGGCAAACAGACUGUGAUCCGGAGAUGUCUGAAUGGGGGAACCCAGCCAUCAUAAGAUGGUUAUCUUGUACUGAAUACAUAGGUGCAAGAGGCGAACCAGGGGAACUGAAACAUCUAAGUACCCUGAGGAAAAGAAAUCAACCGAGAUUCCCUUAGUAGUGGCGAGCGAACGGGGACCAGCCCUUAAGUUGUAUUGAGAUUAGCGGAACGUUCUGGAAAGGACGGCCAUAGUGGGUGAUAGCCCUGUACGCGAAAAUCCCUUUGUAAUGAAAUCGAGUAGGACGGGGCACGAGAAACCUUGUCUGAAUAUGGGGGGACCAUCCUCCAAGGCUAAAUACUACUGACUGACCGAUAGUGAACCAGUACCGUGAGGGAAAGGCGAAAAGAACCGCGGAGAGCGGAGUGAAAUAGAUCCUGAAACCGUAUGCGUACAAGCAGUGGGAGCCCACUUUGUUGGGUGACUGCGUACCUUUUGUAUAAUGGGUCAGCGACUUAUUUUCAGUGGCGAGCUUAACCGAAUAGGGGAGGCGUAGCGAAAGCGAGUCUUAAUAGGGCGUCUAGUCGCUGGGAAUAGACCCGAAACCGGGCGAUCUAUCCAUGGGCAGGUUGAAGGUUGGGUAACACUAACUGGAGGACCGAACCGACUACCGUUGAAAAGUUAGCGGAUGACCUGUGGAUCGGAGUGAAAGGCUAAUCAAGCUCGGAGAUAGCUGGUUCUCCUCGAAAGCUAUUUAGGUAGCGCCUCAUGUAUCACUGUAGGGGGUAGAGCACUGUUUCGGCUAGGGGGUCAUCCCGACUUACCAAACCGAUGCAAACUCCGAAUACCUACAAGUGCCGAGCAUGGGAGACACACGGCGGGUGCUAACGUCCGUCGUGAAAAGGGAAACAACCCAGACCGUCAGCUAAGGUCCCAAAGUCAUGGUUAAGUGGGAAACGAUGUGGGAAGGCUUAGACAGCUAGGAGGUUGGCUUAGAAGCAGCCACCCUUUAAAGAAAGCGUAAUAGCUCACUAGUCGAGUCGGCCUGCGCGGAAGAUGUAACGGGGCUCAAACCAUGCACCGAAGCUACGGGUAUCAUCUUAUGAUGAUGCGGUAGAGGAGCGUUCUGUAAGCCUGUGAAGGUGAGUUGAGAAGCUUGCUGGAGGUAUCAGAAGUGCGAAUGCUGACAUGAGUAACGACAAUGGGUGUGAAAAACACCCACGCCGAAAGACCAAGGUUUCCUGCGCAACGUUAAUCGACGCAGGGUUAGUCGGUCCCUAAGGCGAGGCUGAAAAGCGUAGUCGAUGGAAAACAGGUUAAUAUUCCUGUACUUCUGGUUAUUGCGAUGGAGGGACGGAGAAGGCUAGGCCAGCCUGGCGUUGGUUGUCCAGGUUUAAGGUGGUAGGCUGAGAUCUUAGGUAAAUCCGGGAUCUCAAGGCCGAGAGCUGAUGACGAGUGUUCUUUAGAACACGAAGUGGUUGAUGCCAUGCUUCCAAGAAAAGCUUCUAAGCUUCAGGUAACCAGGAACCGUACCCCAAACCGACACAGGUGGUUGGGUAGAGAAUACCAAGGCGCUUGAGAGAACUCGGGUGAAGGAACUAGGCAAAAUGGCACCGUAACUUCGGGAGAAGGUGCGCCGGUGAGGGUGAAGCAUUUACUGCGUAAGCCCACGCCGGUCGAAGAUACCAGGCCGCUGCGACUGUUUAUUAAAAACACAGCACUCUGCAAACACGAAAGUGGACGUAUAGGGUGUGACGCCUGCCCGGUGCCGGAAGGUUAAUUGAUGGGGUUAGCGCAAGCGAAGCUCUUGAUCGAAGCCCCGGUAAACGGCGGCCGUAACUAUAACGGUCCUAAGGUAGCGAAAUUCCUUGUCGGGUAAGUUCCGACCUGCACGAAUGGCGUAACGAUGGCGGCGCUGUCUCCACCCGAGACUCAGUGAAAUUGAAAUCGCUGUGAAGAUGCAGUGUAUCCGCGGCUAGACGGAAAGACCCCGUGAACCUUUACUAUAGCUUUGCACUGGACUUUGAAUUUGCUUGUGUAGGAUAGGUGGGAGGCUUUGAAGCGUGGACGCCAGUCUGCGUGGAGCCAACCUUGAAAUACCACCCUGGCAACUUUGAGGUUCUAACUCAGGUCCGUUAUCCGGAUCGAGGACAGUGUAUGGUGGGUAGUUUGACUGGGGCGGUCUCCUCCUAAAGAGUAACGGAGGAGUACGAAGGUGCGCUCAGACCGGUCGGAAAUCGGUCGUAGAGUAUAAAGGCAAAAGCGCGCUUGACUGCGAGACAGACACGUCGAGCAGGUACGAAAGUAGGUCUUAGUGAUCCGGUGGUUCUGUAUGGAAGGGCCAUCGCUCAACGGAUAAAAGGUACUCCGGGGAUAACAGGCUGAUACCGCCCAAGAGUUCAUAUCGACGGCGGUGUUUGGCACCUCGAUGUCGGCUCAUCACAUCCUGGGGCUGAAGCCGGUCCCAAGGGUAUGGCUGUUCGCCAUUUAAAGUGGUACGCGAGCUGGGUUUAGAACGUCGUGAGACAGUUCGGUCCCUAUCUGCCGUGGACGUUUGAGAUUUGAGAGGGGCUGCUCCUAGUACGAGAGGACCGGAGUGGACGAACCUCUGGUGUUCCGGUUGUCACGCCAGUGGCAUUGCCGGGUAGCUAUGUUCGGAAAAGAUAACCGCUGAAAGCAUCUAAGCGGGAAACUUGCCUCAAGAUGAGAUCUCACUGGAACCUUGAGUUCCCUAAAGGGCCGUCGAAGACUACGACGUUGAUAGGUUGGGUGUGUAAGCGCUGUGAGGCGUUGAGCUAACCAAUACUAAUUGCCCGUGAGGCUUGACCAUAUAACACCCAAGCAAUU